GGGGAUGUAGCUCAGUUGGUUUAGAGUGCCUGUCUGUCGAACAUGAAGUCGCGGGUUCGAUUCCCGUCAUCCCCG
This 75-nucleotide transfer RNA is filed under the name Brunnivagina elsteri CCALA 953. RNAcentral's name for it is "Calothrix elsteri CCALA 953 tRNA". It matches the Rfam family "tRNA". From Rfam's summary of the family: Transfer RNA (tRNA) molecules are approximately 80 nucleotides in length. Their secondary structure includes four short double-helical elements and three loops (D, anti-codon, and T loops). Lineage: Bacteria; Bacillati; Cyanobacteriota; Cyanophyceae; Nostocales; Calotrichaceae. The record is from Rfam by way of RNAcentral.